RNAcentral lists this small RNA (965 nucleotides) under Drosophila ananassae. RNAcentral's name for it is "GF26523". Lineage: Eukaryota; Metazoa; Arthropoda; Insecta; Diptera; Drosophilidae. The record is from RNAcentral.
UACCAACUGGCCUAAACAUCCCAGUCUGCAAAUGGCGGCCAUACAAAACUAUACGAGUCUAUACACCAUCAACGAACUUGGAAGAUUCUUUAGUAUCAUCAACUAUUAUCGGAGAUGCCUACCCCGUUCGUCACAUAUCCAGGCACCUAAAGUGUUGCAGGUGCAGUUCUGGUGGCUCAUCCAUAUCCUAUCGAGAACCGAUCGGAAAUUACCUUCAAUUUAUCAUCAGCAAUCACCAUGCCAGUGUCCGUCAGUCUACAGUAAAUCUAGAAAGCAUGGGCCGCUGAUUCUAAGCUUUUAAACCUGCUGGAAGAAACCACUUCGCUUGAGUGGUAGAUCAACGGUGCAGAAUCUGUUCAAGGAGCUGUCGCAGUGAACACAUCCAUACGACUGCUUAUAACCCACAAUCAAAUGAAUGAUCCGAAGGAAGGCAAAUAUCGUUUAAGGCUGCGAUGCUGUCAAUCAAAACUCCUGGUGCUUUGGGAAUGCAUGGAUCUUAAGGAGGAUCUUGAAUCAUUGGCUUUGGAGAUGAUAUACGGAAUAACGAUACGCUUGCCAAACGAAUUUUUGCAAAGACAUCGAUACAAACUUGGAUCCUGUCGUAUUCCUAGGGGAUUUUCGAAAAAUACGUCCGAUUUAAACGGCGCACUCAGCAAGCAAAAAAUGUUUUAUCUAAAGGGAAUACAGAAUUGAUCCCACUCCAUAGGACUCACCAUACUCGCCUCUUGAAAAUUAUUUGUUGCAACAAAGAACCAGUAUUCACUCUGAAUGUUCCUAGCCGUUGACAUUCAGAAUGAGUUCUGGGUUAGAAGCUGUUUAUGUCGAUAAGAUGAAACUUAACUUUAUGGUCCGAAACUAUGCCCAAAUGGAAGAUCAACCCUAGGCUUCCGGCCAGGCAAGGAUUUAUAAAAAAAAAGGAAGGAAAGCUAACUUCGGAUAAAGCCGAAGUUGUUAUACCCUUGCAG